This 388-nucleotide ribosomal RNA is filed under the name uncultured bacterium. RNAcentral describes it as "bacterial SSU rRNA". It matches the Rfam family "Bacterial small subunit ribosomal RNA", at positions 30 to 416 of the family's 1533-position model. The record is from RNAcentral.
AUUGAACGCUGGCGGCAUGCCUUACACAUGCAAGUCGAACGGCAGCACGGGAGCAAUCCUGGUGGCGAGUGGCGAACGGGUGAGUAAUAUAUCGGAACGUGCCCAGUCGUGGGGGAUAACGUAGCGAAAGCUACGCUAAUACCGCAUACGAUCUAUGGAUGAAAGCGGGGGAUCGCAAGACCUCGCGCGAUUGGAGCGGCCGAUAUCAGAUUAGGUAGUUGGUGAGGUAAAGGCUCACCAAGCCGACGAUCUGUAGCUGGUCUGAGAGGACGACCAGCCACGCUGGGACUGAGACACGGCCCAGACUCCUACGGGAGGCAGCAGUGGGGAAUUUUUGGGACAAUGGGCGCAAGCCUGAUCCAGCAAUGCCGCGUGCAGGAUGAAGGCC